UACAGAGGGUGCGAGCGUUAAUCGGAGUUACUGGGCGUAAAGGGCGCGUAGGCGGUGAGAUGAGUGGAAUGUGAAAGCCCCGGGCUUAACCUGGGAAGGGCAUACCAAACGAUCUGACUGGAGUAGAGGAGAGGGUGGCGGAAUUUCCGGUGUAGCGGUGAAAUGCGUAGAGAUCGGAAGGAACGUCGAUGGCGAAGGCAGCCACCUGGCCUCAUACUGACGCUGAGGCGCGAAAGCGUGGGGAGCAAACAGG
This 253-nucleotide ribosomal RNA is filed under the name uncultured bacterium. RNAcentral describes it as "partial 16S ribosomal RNA". It matches the Rfam family "Bacterial small subunit ribosomal RNA", at positions 524 to 776 of the family's 1533-position model. The record is from RNAcentral.